GGGAAGGUGGAGUGCUUGCCUUCGCUGACGAGCGGCGGACGGGUGCGUAACACGUAGGAAUCUGCCCGGUAGUGGGGGAUAGCCCGGAGAAAUUCGGAUUAAUACCGCAUACGCCCUAAGGGGGAAAGCAGGGGAUCUUCGGACCUUGCGCUAUCGGAUGAGCCUGCGUCGGAUUAGCUAGUUGGUGGGGUAAAGGCCCACCAAGGCGACGAUCCGUAGCUGGUCUGAGAGGAUGAUCAGCCACACUGGGACUGAGACACGGCCCAGACUCCUACGGGAGGCAGCAGUGGGGAAUAUUGCACAAUGGGCGAAAGCCUGAUGCAGCCAUGCCGCGUGUGUGAAGAAGGCCCUAGGGUUGUAAAGCACUUUCAGUGGGGAGGAAAGGUUGAAGGUUAAUACCCUUUAGCUGUGACGUUACCCACAGAAGAAGCACCGGCUAACUCCGUGCCAGCAGCCGCGGUAAUACGGAGGGUGCGAGCGUUAAUCGGAAUUACUGGGCGUAAAGCGUGCAUAGGCGGCUUUUUAAGUUGGAUGUGAAAGCCCCGGGCUUAACCUGGGAACUGCAUCCAAAACUGGAAGGCUUGAGUGCGAGAGAGGAGUGUGGAAUUUCCUGUGUAGCGGUGAAAUGCGUAGAUAUAGGAAGGAACACC
RNAcentral lists this ribosomal RNA (650 nucleotides) under uncultured bacterium. RNAcentral describes it as "bacterial SSU rRNA". It matches the Rfam family "Bacterial small subunit ribosomal RNA", at positions 68 to 710 of the family's 1533-position model. The record is from RNAcentral.